This 28-nucleotide non-coding RNA is filed under the name Cricetulus griseus (Chinese hamster). Lineage: Eukaryota; Metazoa; Chordata; Mammalia; Rodentia; Cricetidae. The record is from RNAcentral.
CCUUAUGGAACUUAUUGGGCUUGCAGUA